RNAcentral lists this ribosomal RNA (478 nucleotides) under uncultured bacterium. RNAcentral's name for it is "partial 16S ribosomal RNA". It matches the Rfam family "Bacterial small subunit ribosomal RNA", at positions 28 to 523 of the family's 1533-position model. The record is from RNAcentral.
GACGAACGCUGGCGGCGUGCUUAACACAUGCAAGUCGAACGGUAAGGCCCUUCGGGGUACACGAGUGGCGAACGGGUGAGUAACACGUGGGUGAUCUGCCCUGCACUUCGGGAUAAGCCUGGGAAACUGGGUCUAAUACCGGAUAGGACUCCGGACUGCAUGGUCUGGGGUGGAAAGCUUUUGCGGUGUGGGAUGGGCCCGCGGCCUAUCAGCUUGUUGGUGGGGUGAUGGCCUACCAAGGCGACGACGGGUAGCCGGCCUGAGAGGGUGACCGGCCACACUGGGACUGAGAUACGGCCCAGACUCCUACGGGAGGCAGCAGUGGGGAACAUUGCACAAUGGGCGCAAGCCUGAUGCAGCGACGCCGCGUGAGGGAUGACGGCCUUCGGGUUGUAAACCUCUUUCAGCAUCGACGAAGCGAGAGUGACGGUAGGUGCAGAAGAAGGACCGGCCAACUACGUGCCAGCCGCCGCGGUAA